This 253-nucleotide ribosomal RNA is filed under the name uncultured bacterium. Its description in RNAcentral is "partial 16S ribosomal RNA". It matches the Rfam family "Bacterial small subunit ribosomal RNA", at positions 524 to 776 of the family's 1533-position model. The record is from RNAcentral.
UACGUAGGCAGCGAGCGUUGUUCGGAGUUACUGGGCGUAAAGGGUGUGUAGGCGGUUUUCUAAGUUUGGUGUGAAAUCUCCCGGCUCAACCGGGAGGGUGCGCCGAAAACUGGGAGACUAGAGUGCGGGAUGGGAGAGUAGAAUUCCUGGUGUAGCGGUGAAAUGCGUAGAUAUCAGGAGGAAUACCGGUGGUGUAGACGGCUCUCUGGACCGCCACUGACGCUGAGACACGGAAGCGUGGGUAGCAAACAGG